UUCCCCUAGUAACGGCGAGUGAAGCGGGAACAGCUCAAAUUUGAAAUCUGGCCCUCGGGUCCGAGUUGUAAUUUGUAGAGGAUGCUUUUGGUGCGGUGCCUUCCGAGUUCCCUGGAACGGGACGCCUUAGAGGGUGAGAGCCCCGUACGGUUGGACGCCUAGCCUCUGUAAAGCUCCUUCGACGAGUCGAGUAGUUUGGGAAUGCUGCUCUAAAUGGGAGGUAUAUUUCUUCUAAAGCUAAAUACUGGCCAGAGACCGAUAGCGCACAAGUAGAGUGAUCGAAAGAUGAAAAGCACUUUGAAAAGAGGGUUAAAUAGCACGUGAAAUUGUUGAAAGGGAAGCGUUUAUCACCAGACUUUUUCUAGGGGGAUCAUCCGGUGUUCUCACCGGUGCACUUCCCCUAGUUGAGGCCAGCAUCGGUUUUCGGAGGGGGAUAAAAGUUUCGGGAAUGUGACUCCCCCGGGAGUGUUAUAGCCCGUUACAUAAUACCCUUCUGGGGACCGAGGUUCGCGCAUCUGCAAGGAUGCUGGCAUAAUGGUGAUCAACNACCCG
Molecule: ribosomal RNA, 552 nt
Filed under: Khuskia sp. 11Bg11
Lineage: Eukaryota; Fungi; Ascomycota; Sordariomycetes; Trichosphaeriales; Trichosphaeriaceae
Description: eukaryotic LSU rRNA
Rfam family: Eukaryotic large subunit ribosomal RNA
Source: RNAcentral